GUUAGGAUGACCGAGCGGUCUAAGGUGCAGCGUUCAGGUCGCAGUCUCCCCUGGAGGCGUGGGUUCGAAUCCCACUUCUGACA
This 83-nucleotide transfer RNA is filed under the name Petromyzon marinus (sea lamprey). RNAcentral describes it as "tRNA-Leu (CAG) (tRNA-Leu-CAG-29-1, tRNA-Leu-CAG-29-2)". It matches the Rfam family "tRNA". Rfam says of the family: Transfer RNA (tRNA) molecules are approximately 80 nucleotides in length. Their secondary structure includes four short double-helical elements and three loops (D, anti-codon, and T loops). The record is from RNAcentral. Lineage: Eukaryota; Metazoa; Chordata; Hyperoartia; Petromyzontiformes; Petromyzontidae.